CCUACGGGAGGCAGCAGUAAGGAAUAUUGGUCAAUGGGCGAAAGCCUGAACCAGCCACGCCGCGUGAAGGAAGACGGCCCUAUGGGUUGUAAACUUCUUUUCUACGGGAAUAAACCUCAGGACGUGUCCUGAGCUGAAGGUACCGUAGGAAUAAGGAUCGGCUAACUCCGUGCCAGCAGCCGCGGUAAUACGGAGGAUCCAAGCGUUAUCCGGAUUUAUUGGGUUUAAAGGGUGCGUAGGUGGGAUAAUAAGUCAGAGGUGAAAGCUAGCAGCUUAACUGUUAAAUUGCCUUUGAUACUGUUAUUCUUGAGUGUAGUUGGCGUUGGCGGAAUGUGACAUGUAGCGGUGAAAUGCGUAGAUAUGUCACAGAACACCGAUCGCGAAGGCAGCUAACGAAGCUAUCACUGACACUGAUGCACGAAAGCGUGGGGAGCAAACAGGAUUAGAUACCCUGGUAGUCCACGCCGUAAACGAUGAUAACUCGACGUUGGCAAUAUACCGUUCAGCGUCCAAGCGAAAGCGUUAAGUUAUCCACCUGGGGAGUACGAUCGCAAGGUUGAAACUCAAAUGAAUUGACGA
Molecule: ribosomal RNA, 579 nt
Filed under: uncultured bacterium
Lineage: Bacteria
Description: bacterial SSU rRNA
Rfam family: Bacterial small subunit ribosomal RNA
Source: RNAcentral